This 473-nucleotide ribosomal RNA is filed under the name uncultured bacterium. RNAcentral describes it as "bacterial SSU rRNA". It matches the Rfam family "Bacterial small subunit ribosomal RNA", at positions 329 to 793 of the family's 1533-position model. The record is from RNAcentral.
GACCAGACUCCUACGGGAGGCAGCAGUGGGGAAUAUUGCGCAAUGGGCGAAAGCCUGACGUAGCGACGCCGCGUGAGGGAUGAAGGUCUUCGGAUCGUAAACCUCUGUCAGGAGGGAAGAAGUGGUUAUAUGCGAAUAGUGUAUGACUUUGACGGUACCUCCAAAGGAAGCACCGGCUAACUCCGUGCCAGCAGCCGCGGUAAUACGGAGGGUGCGAGCGUUAAUCGGAAUCACUGGGCGUAAAGCGCGCGUAGGCGGCUUUUCAAGUCAGGGGUGAAAUCCCACGGCCCAACCGUGGAACUGCCUUUGAAACUGGCAAACUGGAGUGUGUGAGAGGAUAGUGGAAUUCCAGGUGUAGGAGUGAAAUCCGUAGAUAUCUGGAGGAACAUCAGUGGCGAAGGCGACUAUCUGGCACAUAACUGACGCUGAGGAGCGAAAGCGUGGGUAGCAAACAGGAUUAGAUACCCCUGUAA